Long non-coding RNA from Papaver somniferum (opium poppy), 307 nucleotides. RefSeq lists it as uncharacterized. The record is from RefSeq and is a predicted model, not a curated record. The transcript is spliced from 3 exons. Lineage: Eukaryota; Viridiplantae; Streptophyta; Magnoliopsida; Ranunculales; Papaveraceae.
GUCCGUUUUUUUAUUUUUUUGAGUUUGAGAAGAGGUAGAAGAGAGGUUGGAAUAGAGGAAGCUCAAAUAUAGAUUUAGAAUUUUUUGAUACGAAGAAGAGGAAGAAGAAACCAGAUUAUUUCAGAACAGCAAUUACAAAACAAGGUUGUCAUGGAUGUUGCUAGUUCCAUUGCCGUCGUUCGCUAUUUUUUUGAUUUCAUCACCACUCGUGUUAGUAUUGAGACCACACUUGAUGAAUUUAAAGCCGAAGUUUGCAGGAAAUGGAAGCAAUUUACUCCACUUGGUAUUUCUUUCAUCUUCCGAGAAG